Non-coding RNA from Pelobates cultripes (western spadefoot toad), 211 nucleotides. The record is from the annotation of a GenBank genome assembly. Lineage: Eukaryota; Metazoa; Chordata; Amphibia; Anura; Pelobatidae.
GUAUUAACAGCAUGAGGCAAACAUCAUUAGCUAAUGCACGGAGAUAUAUCCUGACUGGGUCUUCAUUACAGAUACUGGGAUAAAAGAACAGACUGCUCAGGAAGCAAAACAACAUGUGUGACAGGGCAGACUAUAUCUAGUAACAGGGGAGAGCAGCCAAAAUAAUACUUGUGCAGGUUGGAUGUAUUCCACUGGAUUGUACAGAUCAAGG